AUAAUUAUGGAUAUACUACAUGAAAGGAUCGCCAAAUAUCAAAGUGUUAUCACAUCAACCACAUUAUAAUUAAAAGAAAACCACGAAAGAUCUUCAGAUUCACUUCAAAGAAAACUUAGGGUCACUUAUAUGGACUGUGUUCUACUGCUGGCAAUUACGAUCUGUGCUUCAUUUGCAACGCUCUUUCUGUAUAUCUUGUACAAAGUGUUGACUGAUAACAACUGCACAUUCCCCCUGUGUCCAUGCUACCAACCUCCCAAUGACGAUCAUGAUGAUGACCCUAACACGGCCUACCAAAGAGGGCCUUACAGUCAAGCUAAAGAGAAGCCUGACUAAAUGCAAAGGCAAAACUGCUCUAAGUAACAAUUAUAUGCAUGUAUAUCUACUAGGGAAAUGAUACGUAUAAUUGUAAGCUGUUAUUAAAACAUUAUGCACACAUACCUG
This is a long non-coding RNA of Halichondria panicea, 444 nucleotides long. RefSeq lists it as uncharacterized. The transcript has 3 exons. The record is from RefSeq and is a predicted model, not a curated record. NCBI's taxonomy places the organism in Eukaryota, Metazoa, Porifera, Demospongiae, Suberitida, Halichondriidae.